This 499-nucleotide ribosomal RNA is filed under the name uncultured bacterium. Its description in RNAcentral is "partial 16S ribosomal RNA". It matches the Rfam family "Bacterial small subunit ribosomal RNA", at positions 30 to 523 of the family's 1533-position model. The record is from RNAcentral.
AUUGAACGCUGGCGGCAUGCCUUACACAUGCAAGUCGAACGGUAACAGGUCUUCGGAUGCUGACGAGUGGCGAACGGGUGAGUAAUACAUCGGAACGUGCCUAGUAGUGGGGGAUAACUACUCGAAAGAGUGGCUAAUACCGCAUGAGAUCUACGGAUGAAAGCAGGGGAUCGCAAGACCUUGUGCUACUAGAGCGGCCGAUGGCAGAUUAGGUAGUGGGUGGGAUAAAAGCUUACCAAGCCGACGAUCUGUAGCUGGUCUGAGAGGACGAUCAGCCACACUGGGACUGAGACACGGCCCAGACUCCUACGGGAGGCAGAAGUGGGGAAUUUUGGACAAUGGGCGAAAGCCUGAUCCAGCAAUGCCGCGUGCAGGAUGAAGGCCUUCGGGUUGUAGACUGCUUUUGUACGGAACGAAAAGCCCCGGGUUAAUACCCUGGGGUCAUGACGGUACCGUAAGAAUAAGCACCGGCUAACUACGUGCCAGCAGCCGCCGGUAA